RNAcentral lists this ribosomal RNA (401 nucleotides) under Megoura crassicauda. Its description in RNAcentral is "partial 12S small subunit ribosomal RNA". The record is from RNAcentral. Lineage: Eukaryota; Metazoa; Arthropoda; Insecta; Hemiptera; Aphididae.
UAUGUUCUUUAAAUUUAAAAAAUUUGGCGGUAUUUUAAUUUUAUUAAAGGAACCUGUUUAUUAAUUGAUAAUCCACGAUUAAUUUUACUUAUUUUAUUAAUUCAUAUAUCGCUGUCAUGAAUAUAUUAAAAAAUUUAUUUUCUUUAUUUAUAUUUAUAAUUUAUGUUAAGUCAAGAUGUGGUUUAUAAAUAAGUAUAUAAUGGGUUACAUUGAAUUAUAUUUUUGGAUUUUAAAUGAAAAUUAAAAUGAAAUUGGAUUUAAAAGUAAAUUUAUUUAUUUAAUUAAUAUGAAUAAAGAUCUAAAAUAUGUACAUAUUGCCCGUCAUUCUUAUUAAAAAUAAGACAAGUCGUAACAAAGUAAAUGUGCUGGAAAGUGUAUUUAGAAAGAUUUAUUUAUAUAAA